CCUACGGGAGACAGCAGUGGGGGAUAUUGGGCAAUGGGCGCAACCCUGAUCCAGCGACGCCGCGUGAGUGAAGAAGGCUCUCGGUAUGUAAAGCUCUGUCAUCAGGGAAGAAGAAAUGACGGUUCCUGCGUAAGAAGCCCCGGCUAACGCCGUGCCAGAAGCAGCGUUAAUACGUAGGGUGCAAGCGUUAUCCGGAAUUACUUGGUGGAAAGGGAGGGUAGAAGGGGAUGUAAGGCCGAAGUGAAAGAUAGGGGCUCAACCCCCGGAGUGCUCUGGAAACGAUGUGACGGGAGUGCAGGCGGGGGGAGCGGAAUUCCUAGUGUAGCGGUGAAAUGCGUAGAUAUUAGGAGGAACACCAGUGGCGAAGGCGGCUUACUGGACUGUAACUGACGCUGAGGCUCGAAAGCGUGGGGAGCAAACAGGAUUAGAUACCCUGGUAGUC
Molecule: ribosomal RNA, 442 nt
Filed under: uncultured bacterium
Lineage: Bacteria
Description: partial 16S ribosomal RNA
Rfam family: Bacterial small subunit ribosomal RNA
Source: RNAcentral